This is a long non-coding RNA of Empidonax traillii (willow flycatcher), 677 nucleotides long. RefSeq lists it as uncharacterized. Lineage: Eukaryota; Metazoa; Chordata; Aves; Passeriformes; Tyrannidae. The transcript has 4 exons. The record is from RefSeq and is a predicted model, not a curated record.
UUUAGAUCACUGUGAGACACUGGAAAGGUGGUAAGAGCAGAUGGUCCGUGGGCGAUAUGUGACGGGAAUCUGAAAAACUUUUGCCACUCCUCUGAAGGAUAAGGGCAGAGCGAUGAUCAGCAAGGUGUAAGGCAACUGAAUAUUGUCACAAAAAUCCUUCACAGAGAAAAUACAAAAGGAUGCCACCCCUGCCCUCUGCUAGCAAGCUGUGCUGAACUAGCAGGUGUUUCUGCUAAGGACCACGGACCAGCUGACCCCCUCCAGGUAGCUCAUAAGAGAGGAGAGGAGAGCAGGCCACCUCUACGUGGGAAAGCAAGUAGGAGUGCAUCAGCUUUGGGAGAUAACAGACUCGCUUCUAGCCCUGAAUUGAACUAUAUCAGCUCUGCUCACAUGCUAGCUCUCCUGGCAAGUCUGAAAUAUGGGAGUUAUAGACCCACAUUUCAAUGCCUGCCCAGCAGACACUGCUGAGGACGUGCACUUUCAGGAUGGAGAUCUCCUCUUGCUGGUGUCUCUGAAGGCAGCUCUGUGGAAGCAAGUUCCAAUUUAAAUGAAAGACUGUAGAAGACCAACACCGGAAGCUUUUUUGUUUUAUCCCAUGCGUCUCUUUUCUUCAUGGCAAUGCCAUGUGUCUGUGUCAAGGCUAUAAAAUAAGAUACCUCUUUUACAGAAAUGAAUUA